GAUGAAGAACGCAGCGAAAUGCGAUAAGUAGUGUGAAUUGCAGAAUUCAGUGAAUCAUCGAAUCUUUGAACGCACAUUGCGCCCUUUGGUAUUCCUUAGGGCAUGCCUGUUCGAGCGUCAUUUAAACCUUCAAGCUCAGCUUGGUGUUGGGUGACUGUCCGCUUCACCGCGGACUCGCCUCAAAAUUAUUGGCGGCCGGUACAUUGGCUUCGAGCGCAGCAGAAACGCGAACUCGGGCCCGUCGUAUUGGCUCCCAGAAGCUAUCUUCACAAUUUUGACUUCGGAUCAGGUAGGGAUACCCGCUGAACUUAAGCAUAUCAAUAAGCGGAGGA
This 332-nucleotide unclassified non-coding RNA is filed under the name soil metagenome. RNAcentral describes it as "partial contains 5.8S ribosomal RNA, internal transcribed spacer 2, and large subunit ribosomal RNA". The stretch from base 1 to 120 matches the Rfam family "5.8S ribosomal RNA", at positions 35 to 154 of the family's 154-position model. The record is from RNAcentral.